CAAUAGCGUAUAUUAAAGUUGUUGCGGUUAAAAAGCUCGUAGUUGGAUUUCUGUCGGUGAAUAUCAGUCCGCCCACAGCGGUAGGUACGUGAUAUUUCACCGGCAUCUUCCUGGGGAAUGUGUCUGCUCUUUAUUGAGUGGUACAUAAGCCAGGACUUUUACUUUGAAGAAAUGAGAGUGUUUCAAGCAGGCAUGCGCCGUGAAUACGUUAGCAUGGGAUAAUAGCAUCGGACCUCGUUCCAAAGCUGUUGGUUUCUUGGACCGAGGUAAUGAUUAAUAGGGAUAGUUGGGGGCGAUUCGUAUUUAACUGUCAGAGGUGAAAUUACUUGGAUUGUUAAAGACGGACUACUGCGAAAGCAUUUGUCCAAGGAUGUUUUCUAUUGAUCAAGAACGAAAGUUAGGGGAGUCGAAGACGAUCAGAUACCAU
Molecule: ribosomal RNA, 427 nt
Filed under: uncultured eukaryote
Lineage: Eukaryota
Description: SSU rRNA
Rfam family: Eukaryotic small subunit ribosomal RNA
Source: RNAcentral